This 249-nucleotide long non-coding RNA is filed under the name Anser brachyrhynchus (Pink-footed goose). RNAcentral describes it as "lncRNA (ENSABRG00000006982.1)". The record is from RNAcentral. Lineage: Eukaryota; Metazoa; Chordata; Aves; Anseriformes; Anatidae.
UAAGAGACCCUCACCUUUUUUCUCUUCCAGCAAAAGCUUGUUUUCACGGUGAUAGCAAGAAAGAGGUACCAGGACUCCCUCAGCAGAAUCUUUCAGAGGAAUGAAGGAAGAACUGUGCAUAAAUUAUGGAUUUAUUUUCUUCUACUUGGGAAUUAUCACGCGAUGCCCACUGCUGCCUCACGGGAGCACCCAGAGCCCUGCAGCCCGCUACAUGGUGUGACUGACCCACUCGUAUGCCCACAGGAAAAC